RNAcentral lists this long non-coding RNA (470 nucleotides) under Trifolium pratense (red clover). Its description in RNAcentral is "long non-coding RNA (TPRA_LNC005636)". The record is from RNAcentral. Lineage: Eukaryota; Viridiplantae; Streptophyta; Magnoliopsida; Fabales; Fabaceae.
UAUAAAUAGUGCACAUUGAAUUGUAUUGUAUCAUCAAUUUUUAAUUUAAAAAUUCAUAUCAAACUAGAAAUUCAUAUCUGCAAGCAUUUGAUCCAUCAUAAACAUAGCAUAUAAAGUAUCUCCAAAUAACAACAAAAUAUCAUAUUUUUAUCACUACAUCCAAAAGGCUAAAGUUCUAAUAACUUAAAUUUGCCUACAAAAUAUCAAACUCCAUAAUUUAAGUUCUACAUUCCAAAGUCAUUAAUAUUAUUCAUCGGCAUUUGUACCAUCAUUUGCAUUGUUUCCACGAGAUCCAUUACCAACGGAAGGAUCAUCUUCAUCUAAAUCCAUCAUGUCCAAAUCUAUAUUUGCAUAAUUAGCAAAUGCGGCCAACAUUUUAUUUUGACGUGCAAGGAUGCAAUUGAUUGUUUGUUGGUCUGCAAUUUUCUGCCUUAAUCGCGCCUCAACCUCUCCACUCAUACCACGAGCAA